Molecule: ribosomal RNA, 2932 nt
Filed under: Klebsiella aerogenes
Lineage: Bacteria; Pseudomonadati; Pseudomonadota; Gammaproteobacteria; Enterobacterales; Enterobacteriaceae
Description: bacterial LSU rRNA
Rfam family: Bacterial large subunit ribosomal RNA
Source: RNAcentral
GGGUUGUGAGGUUAAGCGACUAAGCGUACACGGUGGAUGCCCUGGCAGUCAGAGGCGAUGAAGGACGUGCUAAUCUGCGAAAAGCGUCGGUAAGGUGAUAUGAACCGUUACAGCCGGCGAUGUCCGAAUGGGGAAACCCAGUGCAAUUCGUUGCACUAUCGUUAACUGAAUACAUAGGUUAACGAGGCGAACCGGGGGAACUGAAACAUCUAAGUACCCCGAGGAAAAGAAAUCAACCGAGAUUCCCCCAGUAGCGGCGAGCGAACGGGGAGCAGCCCAGAGUCUGAAUCAGCUUGUGUGUUAGUGGAACGGUCUGGAAAGUCCGACGGUACAGGGUGAUAGUCCCGUACACCAAAAUGCACAGGUUGUGAACUCGAAGAGUAGGGCGGGACACGUGGUAUCCUGUCUGAAUAUGGGGGGACCAUCCUCCAAGGCUAAAUACUCCUGACUGACCGAUAGUGAACCAGUACCGUGAGGGAAAGGCGAAAAGAACCCCGGCGAGGGGAGUGAAAAAGAACCUGAAACCGUGUACGUACAAGCAGUGGGAGCACCUUCGGGUGUGACUGCGUACCUUUUGUAUAAUGGGUCAGCGACUUAUAUUCUGUAGCAAGGUUAACCGUAUAGGGGAGCCGCAGGGAAACCGAGUCUUAACUGGGCGUUAAGUUGCAGGGUAUAGACCCGAAACCCGGUGAUCUAGCCAUGGGCAGGUUGAAGGUUGGGUAACACUAACUGGAGGACCGAACCGACUAAUGUUGAAAAAUUAGCGGAUGACUUGUGGCUGGGGGUGAAAGGCCAAUCAAACCGGGAGAUAGCUGGUUCUCCCCGAAAGCUAUUUAGGUAGCGCCUCGUGAACUCAUCUUCGGGGGUAGAGCACUGUUUCGGCUAGGGGGUCAUCCCGACUUACCAACCCGAUGCAAACUACGAAUACCGAAGAAUGUUAUCACGGGAGACACACGGCGGGUGCUAACGUCCGUCGUGAAGAGGGAAACAACCCAGACCGCCAGCUAAGGUCCCAAAGUCACAGUUAAGUGGGAAACGAUGUGGGAAGGCACAGACAGCCAGGAUGUUGGCUUAGAAGCAGCCAUCAUUUAAAGAAAGCGUAAUAGCUCACUGGUCGAGUCGGCCUGCGCGGAAGAUGUAACGGGGCUAAACUGUGCACCGAAGCUGCGGCAGCGACACUAUGUGUUGUUGGGUAGGGGAGCGUUCUGUAAGCCUGCGAAGGUGGCCUGUGAGGGUUGCUGGAGGUAUCAGAAGUGCGAAUGCUGACAUAAGUAACGAUAAUGCGGGUGAAAAGCCCGCACGCCGGAAGACCAAGGGUUCCUGUCCAACGUUAAUCGGGGCAGGGUGAGUCGACCCCUAAGGCGAGGCCGAAAGGCGUAGUCGAUGGGAAACAGGUUAAUAUUCCUGUACUUGGUGUUACUGCGAAGGGGGGACGGAGAAGGCUAUGUUAGCCGGGCGACGGUUGUCCCGGUUUAAGCAUGUAGGCGGAGGUUCCAGGUAAAUCCGGUACCUUAUUAACGCUGAGGUGUGAUGACGAGGCACUACGGUGCUGAAGUAACAAAUGCCCUGCUUCCAGGAAAAGCCUCUAAGCAUCAGGUAACAUUGAAUCGUACCCCAAACCGACACAGGUGGUCAGGUAGAGAAUACCAAGGCGCUUGAGAGAACUCGGGUGAAGGAACUAGGCAAAAUGGUGCCGUAACUUCGGGAGAAGGCACGCUGAUAUGUAGGUGAAGCCCCUGCGGGUGGAGCUGAAAUCAGUCGAAGAUACCAGCUGGCUGCAACUGUUUAUUAAAAACACAGCACUGUGCAAACACGAAAGUGGACGUAUACGGUGUGACGCCUGCCCGGUGCCGGAAGGUUAAUUGAUGGGGUUAUCCGUAAGGAGAAGCUCUUGAUCGAAGCCCCGGUAAACGGCGGCCGUAACUAUAACGGUCCUAAGGUAGCGAAAUUCCUUGUCGGGUAAGUUCCGACCUGCACGAAUGGCGUAAUGAUGGCCAGGCUGUCUCCACCCGAGACUCAGUGAAAUUGAACUCGCUGUGAAGAUGCAGUGUACCCGCGGCAAGACGGAAAGACCCCGUGAACCUUUACUAUAGCUUGACACUGAACAUUGAGCCUUGAUGUGUAGGAUAGGUGGGAGGCUUUGAAGCGUGGACGCCAGUCUGCGUGGAGCCAACCUUGAAAUACCACCCUUUAAUGUUUGAUGUUCUAACGUUGGCCCCUUAUCGGGGUUGCGGACAGUGUCUGGUGGGUAGUUUGACUGGGGCGGUCUCCUCCCAAAGAGUAACGGAGGAGCACGAAGGUUAGCUAAUCCUGGUCGGACAUCAGGAGGUUAGUGCAAUGGCAUAAGCUAGCUUGACUGCGAGCGUGACGGCGCGAGCAGGUGCGAAAGCAGGUCAUAGUGAUCCGGUGGUUCUGAAUGGAAGGGCCAUCGCUCAACGGAUAAAAGGUACUCCGGGGAUAACAGGCUGAUACCGCCCAAGAGUUCAUAUCGACGGCGGUGUUUGGCACCUCGAUGUCGGCUCAUCACAUCCUGGGGCUGAAGUAGGUCCCAAGGGUAUGGCUGUUCGCCAUUUAAAGUGGUACGCGAGCUGGGUUUAGAACGUCGUGAGACAGUUCGGUCCCUAUCUGCCGUGGGCGCUGGAGAAUUGAGGGGGGCUGCUCCUAGUACGAGAGGACCGGAGUGGACGCAUCACUGGUGUUCGGGUUGUCAUGCCAAUGGCAUUGCCCGGUAGCUAAAUGCGGAAGAGAUAAGUGCUGAAAGCAUCUAAGCACGAAACUUGCCCCGAGAUGAGUUCUCCCUGAGACUUUAAGUCUCCUGAAGGAACGUUAAAGACGAUGACGUUGAUAGGUCGGGUGUGUAAGCGUAGCGAUACGUUGAGCUAACCGAUACUAAUGAACCGUGAGGCUUAACCUUACAACGCCGAAGGUGUUU